CCUGCUCCUCCAUGAUAGGUCAGCUACAUCAUCACCCCUGCUCCUCCAUGAUAGGUCAGCUACAUCAUCAUCCUACUCCUCCAUGAUAGGUCACCUACAUCAUCACCCCUGCUCCUCCAUGAUAGGUCAACUACAUCAUCAUCCUGCUCCUCCAUGAUAGGUCAAAUACAUCAUCAUCCUGCUCCUCCAUGAUAGAUCAGCUACAUCAUCCUGCUCCUUCAUGAUAGGUCAGCUACAUCAUCACCCCUGCAGCUCCAUGAUAGGCCAGCUACAUCAUCAUCCUGCUCCUCCCUGAUAGAUCAGCUACAUCAUCACUCCUGCUCCUCCAUGAAAGGUCAGCUACAUCAUCCUGCUCCUCAUGAUAGGUCAGCUACAUCAUCACCCCUGCUCCUCCAUGAUAGGUCAGCUACAUCAUCACCCCUGUUCCUCCAUUAUAGGUCAGCUACAUCAGCACCCCUGCUCCUCCAUGAUAGGUCAGUUACAUCAUCACCCCUGCUCAUCCAAGAUAGGUCAGCUACAUUAUCACUCCUGCUCCUCAAUGAUAGGUCAGCUACAUCAUCCUGCUCCUUCAUGAUAGGUCAGCUACAUCAUCACUCCUGCUCCUCCAUGAUAGGUCAGCUACAUCAUCACCCCUGCUCCUCCAUGAUAGGUCAGCUACAUCAUCACCCCUGCUCCUCCAUGAUAGGUCAGCUACAUCAUUAUCCUGCUCCUCCAUGAUAGGUCAGCUACAUCAUCACCCCUGCUCCUCCAUGAUAGGUCAGCUACAUCAUCACCCUGGUCCUCCAUGAUAGGUCAGCUACAUCAUCACCCCUGCUCCUCCAUGAUAGGUCAGCUACAUUAUCACCCCUGCUCCUCAAUGAUAGGUCAGCUACAUCAUUCUGCUCAUCCAUGAUAGGUCAGCUACAUCAUCACCCCUGCUCAUCCAUGAUAGGUCAGCUACAUUAUCACCCCUGCUCCUCAAUGAUAGGUCAGCUACAUCAUCCUGCUCCUUCAUGAUAAGUCAGCUACAUCAUCAACCUGCUCCUCCAUGAUAGGUCAGCUACAUCAUCACCCUGCUCCUCCAUGAUAG
Molecule: long non-coding RNA, 1069 nt
Filed under: Salmo salar (Atlantic salmon)
Lineage: Eukaryota; Metazoa; Chordata; Actinopteri; Salmoniformes; Salmonidae
Description: lncRNA (ENSSSAG00000089971.1)
Source: RNAcentral